RNAcentral lists this ribosomal RNA (377 nucleotides) under uncultured Oligoflexia bacterium. Its description in RNAcentral is "bacterial SSU rRNA". It matches the Rfam family "Bacterial small subunit ribosomal RNA", at positions 523 to 898 of the family's 1533-position model. The record is from RNAcentral. Lineage: Bacteria; Pseudomonadati; Bdellovibrionota; Oligoflexia.
AUACGAAGGGUGCAAGCGUUGUUCGGAAUAACUGGGCGUAAAGGGCGCGUAGGCGGGUUGGUAAGUUAGAAGUGAAAUCCCCGGGCUUAACCCGGGAACUGCUUCUAAUACUGCCAGUCUUGAAUGUUCGAGAGGGUGGUGGAAUUCCCGGUGUAGAAGUGAAAUUCGUAGAUAUCGGGAGGAACAUCCGAGGCGAAGGCGGCCACCUGGCGAAACAUUGACGCUGAGGCGCGAAAGCGUGGGGAUCAAACAGGAUUAGAUACCCUGGUAGUCCACGCCGUAAACGAUGGAUGCUAGAUGUUCGGAGAGUUAACCCUCUGAGUAUCGAAGCUAACGCAUUAAGCAUCCCGCCUGGGAAGUACAGUCGCAAGGCUGAA